This 123-nucleotide unclassified non-coding RNA is filed under the name uncultured Thelephoraceae. Its description in RNAcentral is "sequence contains ITS1". Lineage: Eukaryota; Fungi; Basidiomycota; Agaricomycetes; Thelephorales; Thelephoraceae. The record is from RNAcentral.
AAGAAUUUGCCCCGUCCUCUCGAGGAUGGGUGGGCUCUGUCCUCCUGGCGUGGUUCUACGUCUUUACACACACACUACAACAAAGUCUUAUGGAAUGUAUGUCGCGUUUAACGCAAUGAAAUA